AACGAACGCUGGCGGCAUGCCUAACACAUGCAAGUCGAACGAUACCUUCGGGUCGAUUGGCUCACUGGUGCGUAACGCGUGGCAACCUGCCCUUAUGUUCGGAAUAACUCCCCGGAAGGGGUUCUAUUACCGGAUAAUUUCUUCGUACCAAAGAUUUAUCGCCUUUGGAUGGGCCCGCGUUUGAUUAGCUAGUUGGUAGGGUAAAAGCCUACCAAGGCGACGAGCCAUAGAUGGUCUGAGAGGAUUAUCAGCCACACUGUGACUGAGACACGGCGCAGACUACUACGGGAGGCAGCAGUGGGGAAUAUUGGAAAAUGGGGGAAAGCAUGAACCAGCAAUGCCGCGUGAGUGAUGAAGGCGUUAGGGUUGUAAAGAUCUUUUACACGGGAUGAUAAUGACAGUACCGGGAGAAUAAGCUCCGGCUAACUCCGUG
Molecule: ribosomal RNA, 433 nt
Filed under: uncultured bacterium
Lineage: Bacteria
Description: partial 16S ribosomal RNA
Rfam family: Bacterial small subunit ribosomal RNA
Source: RNAcentral